AGGUGGCGGGCAGAGGAACGUAACGAAGAGCCAUGUCUCGGAUCCCAGCCUGAUGCAGAGAAAAGAAAGACAUACUAAUUGUCACAACCAGCAGAUUGUGCCCCCAAGCUUGUACCAGGCACUUCCAAACUUCAAAGCCUCAGCUUCAUACCUCUGAAGGAGUCAUAAACCAAAUAUGACAUGUCACAUGCAAGAACCUCUUAACUACCUCCAGAUUCCUUGUGCUUCAUGAAUGAAAACACCCACGUUACAUAAGGCUCUCUACUGGGCGGUAGACUUUCUGAGGCAGGUCCUCUGGGCACCUCCUCAAUGCCUAGCACAAAGCUGACGCUCCCCAGUCAGCAGCUGAGUUGCAUCUUCAGACGUGGUCCAGGUGUCUGGCUUUAGUCUCGAAGACACCCGAGCUGGAAUCCCAGAUCUGCCAAUAUUCUCACUAGCAACCAACGGGCAAGUUACUGAUGCUCUUUGCGCCCCAAUUUUCCUCACCUGCUAAAGGAAGCCAAUGAUAUUUACUUCAUGGAGAUGUGAAAUAAAGUGCCUGGCACCUAAUAGGCACUUAGUAAAUAGUAGUUGCUGUUAUUUCAAUACACUGUUCUCAAUACCCUGAAACCUAUAGAACCUGUGAAAAAUUCUGAUAUCUAAAGAGACAUGUGCUAAAUUUGUGUCUUAAUAAGAA
Miniopterus natalensis is the source of this 676-nucleotide non-coding RNA. The record is from RefSeq and is a predicted model, not a curated record. NCBI's taxonomy places the organism in Eukaryota, Metazoa, Chordata, Mammalia, Chiroptera, Miniopteridae.